UGAGUACGAGACGCUAAGGCGUCGAAGUAGUGGAUGUCAUACUUCCAAGAAAAGCUUGCACUGUCAUAAAUCAAAAACGCCUGUACCAUAACCGACACAGGUGGGUAGGUAGAGUAUACUAAGGGGCGCGAGAUAACUCUCUCUAAGGAACUCGGCAAAAUAACUCCGUAACUUCGGGAGAAGGAGUGCCUUAUUCGUAAGGCUGCAAUAACAAGAUCCAAGCAACUGUUUAUCAAAAACACAGGUCUCCGCUAAGUCGUAAGACGAUGUAUGGGGGCUGACGCCUGCCCAGUGCCAGAAGGUUAAAGAAGUCGGUUAGCAUUAGCGAAGCUGGUAACUGAAGCCCUGGUGAACGGCGGCCGUAACGAUAACGGUCCUAAGGUAGCGAAAUUCCUUGUCGGGUAAGUUCCGACCCGCACGAAAGGCGUAAUGAUUUGGAUACUGUCUCGGAGAGGGGCUCGGUGAAAUAGACUUGUCUGUGAAGAUGCGGACUACCUGCACCAGGACAGAAGGACCCUAUGAAGCUUUACUGUAACUUGAAAUUGAAAUUGGACUUUAUUCGCGCAGUAUAGGUGGGAGGUGUUGAUUAUAAUCUUGCGGGAUUAUUGGAGCCAUCAGUGAGAUACCACUCUUGUAAUGUUAGAUUUCUAACUUUGAAUCAUUAUCUGGUCAAAGAACAGUUUCAGGCGGGCAGUUUGACUGGGGCGGUCGCCUCCUAAAUGGUAACGGAGGCGUACAAAGGUUUCCUCUGAACGGGUAGAAAUCGUAUCUAGAGUGUAAAGGCAUAAGGAAGCUUGACUGUGAGACCUACAAGUCGAGCAGGGACGAAAGUCGGUCUUAGUGAUCUGACGGUACUGAGUGGAAAGGCCGUCACUCAACGGAUAAAAGUUACUCUAGGAUAACAGGCUGAUCUCCCCCAAGAGUUCACAUCGACGGGGAGGUUUGGCACCUCGAUGUCGGCUCAUCGCAUCCUGGGGCGGUAGUACGUCCCAAGGGUUGGGCUGUUCGCCCAUGAAAGCGGUACGCGAGCUGGGUUCAGAACGUCGUGAGACAGUUCGGUCCAUAUCCGGUGUAGGCGUUAGAAUAUUGAGAGGAGCCUUCUUUAGUACGAGAGGACCGAGAAGGACAUACCUCUGGUGUACCAGUUAUCGUGCCAACGGUAAACGCUGGGUAGCUAUGUAUGGAGUGGAUAACCGCUGAAAGCAUCUAAGUGGGAAGCCCACCUCAAGAUAAGUAUUCUCAUC
RNAcentral lists this ribosomal RNA (1244 nucleotides) under metagenome. RNAcentral describes it as "bacterial LSU rRNA". It matches the Rfam family "Bacterial large subunit ribosomal RNA", at positions 1564 to 2818 of the family's 2925-position model. The record is from RNAcentral.